UACGGGGGGAGCAAGCGUUGUUCGGAUUUACUGGGCGUGAAGGGCGCGUAGGCGGCCACCGCAAGUCGACUGUGAAAUCUCCGGGCUUAACCCGGAAAGGUCAGCCGAUACUGCGGGGCUAGAGUGCAGAAGGGGCAACUGGAAUUCUCGGUGUAGCGGUGAAAUGCGUAGAUAUCGACUGGAAUGCCGAUGGUGAAGACGGCCCGCUGGGCUUGUCCUGACGCUCAGGCACGAAAGCGUGGGGAUCAAACAGG
This 254-nucleotide ribosomal RNA is filed under the name uncultured bacterium. RNAcentral describes it as "partial 16S ribosomal RNA". It matches the Rfam family "Bacterial small subunit ribosomal RNA", at positions 524 to 776 of the family's 1533-position model. The record is from RNAcentral.